This 85-nucleotide non-coding RNA is filed under the name Acetivibrio clariflavus. RNAcentral describes it as "Clostridium clariflavum c-di-GMP sequence". It matches the Rfam family "c-di-GMP-I riboswitch aptamer". Rfam says of the family: GEMM was predicted in a large-scale screen for bacterial structured RNA regulatory elements. Genes associated with GEMM are involved in a diverse array of functions, including chemotaxis regulation, signal transduction, secretion and chitin. RNAcentral also lists the same sequence under 1 other name. Lineage: Bacteria; Bacillati; Bacillota; Clostridia; Acetivibrionales; Acetivibrionaceae. The record is from RNAcentral.
ACUUGUAAAAGGCAAAUCUAUCGAAAGGUAGAGACGCAAAGCUACGGGUCUACGGUCAUAUGACUAUGACAGCCGGGUUGCCAAG